RNAcentral lists this non-coding RNA (24 nucleotides) under Arabidopsis thaliana (thale cress). Lineage: Eukaryota; Viridiplantae; Streptophyta; Magnoliopsida; Brassicales; Brassicaceae. The record is from RNAcentral.
GAGAAAGAGCACAUUAUGAUUGGG